CCUCCCUGCUCUUGCACACACACGAACACACGCAUGCAUGCUGGCACGCACUUCACUGCAUUCAAUAAGCCAGUAUUUAGAAAACGACACCUUCAUGAUGCCCACCCCCUCCCGCACGCGCGCGCGCGCGUGCGCGCACACACACACACACACACACACACACACACACACACAUGCUUCCCAUGCCUCCACGCUCUACAAGCGGUCACAGCAACCACCAUGGCACCAGCCCCGAGAAUCGCGGGGACCACAGAAGCAACCCCCUACCCGCUUCGCAGAACCCGGACUUGGGGGAAACCUUCGGGCAGCGUCCUGCAGCCCCCCGCCCGCGGCCCGCCGCUGCGCACGCCAUGCCAAGUACGCGGAUCUUGAUGUCUUGGAUCCGUGACAGCGCGCGAGUCCAGCCCAAAAGCCCGAGGGACCGCGCGGCGGCGGUAUUCCCGGCGACAGCCCGAGAGCCCACGGCCCCUGCGCCCCACGGGCCACCCUGAUCUUCACCCUUCUCCCGGCCGCCCCGGAGGUCCUGGCCCCGCCGGACCCUCAGCCCGCGACUCCGCAGCCUAGGCUCGGGUUCCCGGUGCCCCAGGACCGAGCCCCGGCGCCUCCCGCCGGCUUGCCACGCUCUCGCGGUGCUCAGUUCCCUGGCUUUCCACACGCGCUCACAGACACGCGCCCUGCCCUUUCCCGGCCCAACACGCACACCUGCAUACACUUGGUGAUGCCGGCCCUCCCGCAUCUCAGGGGGCCCUGAGCCCCGCGGUCCCCGCUGCCACUCUACCGGGUCCCGGUCAGCUGAUGCCCCGUCCCCCUUCCCCUGGGAGGGCACACGACGCCGCACUUACAGUUCGCAGAAACUGGAUCUCGUCCUCGCCUUCGCCCCCAUCGGCCAUGGCUCCGCGAUCCUCGCCGGGGCCGGCUCCAGAGCCCUGCGGAGACCGGCGGCGGCGGCCCCUCGCGCUGCGCCUGCUCCUGCUCCUGCUCCUGCACCUGCCGCUGCCCGGAGCCGGGGGUAACAGGGGGCCGAGCUGCAGGUGCAGAUCGCCGGGCGGUCCGCGCCUGCAGAGCCCAGGAGACUGCGCGGGCGGGCGCGCGGGGGCGGCCGAGGCGCGGGGCCUCCCUGCGCCGCACUGUGCGGGAGGAGGCCGGCCGGGUGGGGGACGCGGGGAGGCGGCCCGCAGCGCAGCCGCGCUUGCUGCCUGCAGCCGGCAGCCCGCUCGGCCCCGCUCCUCGGAGCGAGUGCGCGGAGCCGGGGGAGCUCGGGUAGUGCCGCGGCGGGGGCGGGGUGGGGGCGGGCGGGGGCGCGGGGAGGAGCUCGCCGUCCCGGCUGCUGCAGGUAAUCCGCAGCCCGCUCCGCCCGCCGUCAGCGCCGCUUACUGGCUGCGCCCGGUAUCGGGAUGGCGAGCGCCGGGAGAGCGCAAAGCCUUCCACCUGCUCUCUGCGUGGCCUCUGGGCUCCUUUGCCUGCCCUUUCCGAACUUAAGCCGGGGCAUGGCUGUGACAGUGGGCACCAACUUCCUCUGCACUUUGCAUCGCCAGGAAGACUCGUUUCCCUCCCGCCUGCCUGGGGCGGGGGGACAGCGGGUGGAGAGUCUCCAAGUAAAGGGGACCCAACACGUGAUAUUUUAAACCAGGAUUCCCUGGAUUCAAGAUCAACAUGGGAAUUCUUCGAUAUGUAGUUCUAGUGUACUACGCUUUUCACAGAUAAUCCGUACAACGUGCGUAGUUUGGGUGCACAGAACUUUUUUUUUUUUUUCAGUUGUUGCUGGACCUUUAUUUUAUUCAUUUAUUUAUAUGCAGUGCGGAGAAUCGAACCCAGUGCCUCACACAUGCAAGGCAAGAGCGCUAUCACUGAGCCACAACCCCAGCCCUGCGCAGAACCUUUAACAAAUUCAUUCCACAAAUAUAUAAAGAGCAUGUAUAUCAGACAAUGUGGUACAAGACAGAGGAGUAUGUGUCUAAUUGAACAAGCAAUUGCAAUGUAUAGGGUGGUAUCUACGAGUUCUGAUCACUGGGUGUCUCUAAACUGAUACUGUGGUAUCCAUUACUCUUUCUGAGAAAAGAAAUUCAAGCAUUGCACCACAAAUCAUUCUCUGGGUCCUCCGUGCAAUAGCCUACCGAGUCUCCAUUUAAGAAACUGGCUGUGAGUACAGGGUCUGAGACUGUUUGGACCAACAAGCAUGUAUCACUCGCCCCCGGUCCCCGGCUCUUUCAUUAAUGUCACUAACAAAAUGAAGUUAAGUGCAAAGUAAAGUUUCCAGAUGUCAAUCCUACAAAAGUGCAAUUUCUACCGUAAAAGAUUUUGGCAUCAGGUUACCUACAUUACACAUUUGGCAGCAUCUAACCUGUAUUAAAAUUGACCUGUAAGCUCUAUGCAGCAUGCAUUUUCUUUCUGGCACCCAUUAACUUUGUACUUACUGGGCUAGUGUUUGCUGUUUCCAGGAGAGUGGAUACUAUAAGCACCAUGUCUAUAAAUAUCCUCCCUGUGUGGUGGGAUCCUGCUCUGCCCAAUGUUUAGACAUGAACUAGUGUCCUAGUCCUCCUACCUAACGACUUGACACAUUCUUGUAUCCAUGGUAAUUAGCAAGUCCUAAAUCCUCAUUAUUUAUGUGAAUUUCUACUCUAAGGAUUCUCUAAACAAGCUUCCAAAAGAUAAGGUGAAAGUUCUCCUUGAGGAAUGACUUCUGAUAUUGGCUCAUACUGCUAAAUAAUUCAAUCUUCCUAAAUUAAAACAUAUAAAGUUGACCUUAUAAGGUACUUUUUCCAGAAGUGGGCACAGUUUCUAAACUAAAACACAUCCUGUAUGUUUGGAAAUCACUCCAUCCUACCUAUAGAAUAGGUAAAAUAUUAAAACUCAUACUGUUUUCCAUUUUGGAUACUCUAACUAGACUAUAAACUCUUCUAGCAAAAGCCAUAUUUAUUAUUUCUCUUAGCAUAAGUGAAAUAAUGCUAAAUGUCCUAGGCUCUCAGUAAUUAUUAUUUACCCUAUAAAAUCUUCAACAGCAAAUAGACAGAGCAGACAUGUUUUUAAAACAUACCAUUUAUAAUGUGAACUUUAACACUCAAAAGUACAAUACCAUGAGAUUUCUAGACCUAUAAUCUGUACUAAAAGUAUAAAAAUGCUUUGGGGAAUUAUACAUAAUAUCUCUUUUUAAAAGAAGAAACUGAAGCAAAUAGAGCAAGUGUUUUAAUAUAGUGGUUGGCAUAAGGGUGUAGUGUUACUUUGGGAACAUUGAUAUUUUGACAUAUUUCAUAAUUAUAAAACGAAAUAAUUUUAACAGAGAACUACUUCAGUGAAAGUUAUAGAAACUUUUUUAUUUACAGGGUUUUUUUUUUCUUUUAACUUUUGGAUGACUUAGCUAUGAUUCCCUACUUUCUUCUUCUAAGUGAACAAUUAUAAAAAUAUUUGGUUUUGAG
RNAcentral lists this long non-coding RNA (3413 nucleotides) under Marmota monax (woodchuck). The record is from RNAcentral. Lineage: Eukaryota; Metazoa; Chordata; Mammalia; Rodentia; Sciuridae.